This 452-nucleotide ribosomal RNA is filed under the name uncultured organism. RNAcentral's name for it is "partial 16S ribosomal RNA". It matches the Rfam family "Bacterial small subunit ribosomal RNA", at positions 331 to 799 of the family's 1533-position model. The record is from RNAcentral.
GUACACUCCUGCGGGAGGCAGCAGUGGGGAAUAUUGGACAAUGGGCGCAAGCCUGAUCCAGCCAUGCCGCGUGAGUGAUGAAGGCCCUAGGGUUGUAAAGCUCUUUCACCGGUGAAGAUAAUGACGGUAACCGGAGAAGAAGCCCCGGCUAACUUCGUGCCAGCAGCCGCGGCAAUACGAAGGGGGCUAGCGUUGUUCGGAUUUACUGGGCGUAAAGCGCACGUAGGCGGACUAUUAAGUCAGGGGUGAAAUCCCGGGGCUCAACCCCGGAACUGCCUUUGAUACUGGUAGUCUUGAGUUCGAGAGAGGUGAGUGGAAUUCCGAGUGUAGAGGUGAAAUUCGUAGAUAUUCGGAGGAACACCAGUGGCGAAGGCGGCUCACUGGCUCGAUACUGACGCUGAGGUGCGAAAGCGUGGGGAGCAAACAGGAUUAGAAACCCCGGUAGUCCCAUG